CAAGUUCUUCCUCAGUAAAUUCAGAAAUACAAAAAUACUCUCAGAGGUAUUUUGCCCAAAUGAGAAAAAUCCACAUUUCUUCAAAGAAACGUCAGAGUCUGAG
Ochotona curzoniae (black-lipped pika) is the source of this 103-nucleotide long non-coding RNA. RefSeq lists it as uncharacterized. Lineage: Eukaryota; Metazoa; Chordata; Mammalia; Lagomorpha; Ochotonidae. The record is from RefSeq and is a predicted model, not a curated record. The transcript has 4 exons.